UUUUAUUUUUUUGUUUUUUUAUUUGUCGCGUCGUCGCAGUCGCAGUUGCAAUUUUUCCUCCGUUAAACCGUUCGCCAUUGUUGUAUUAUUUUGGUAUUCUUUUUUGCAUUAUUGUUAUUGUUUCCUGCUAUAUUUGUUUAACCAAUAUUUAAAAUGUGGAUGUUACUGCAGCGAUAUAGCUCUCGAACUUUAUUGAUUUUUCUAAUUUUUUUUUUUUUUUUUUUUUUUUUUUUUGUAUUAGGAAAUGGAAUUUUAUCGCGUAGUGAGAUAUAAUUUUGUUCCG
This is a non-coding RNA of Cinara cedri, 283 nucleotides long. The record is from the annotation of a GenBank genome assembly. Lineage: Eukaryota; Metazoa; Arthropoda; Insecta; Hemiptera; Aphididae.